RNAcentral lists this ribosomal RNA (253 nucleotides) under uncultured bacterium. Its description in RNAcentral is "partial 16S ribosomal RNA". It matches the Rfam family "Bacterial small subunit ribosomal RNA", at positions 524 to 776 of the family's 1533-position model. The record is from RNAcentral.
UACGUAGGGUGCAAGCGUUAAUCGGAAUUACUGGGCGUAAAGCGUGCGCAGGCGGUUUUGUAAGUCUGACGUGAAAUCCCCGGGCUUAACCUGGGAACUGCAUCCGAUACUGGUCGGCUUGAAUCCGGGAGAGGGAUGCAGAAUUCCAGGUGUAGCGGUGAAAUGCGUAGAUAUCUGGAGGAAUACCGGUGGCGAAGGCGGCAUCCUGGACCGGCAUUGACGCUGAAAAGCGAAAGCUAGGGGAGCAAACGGG